Molecule: ribosomal RNA, 254 nt
Filed under: uncultured bacterium
Lineage: Bacteria
Description: partial 16S ribosomal RNA
Rfam family: Bacterial small subunit ribosomal RNA
Source: RNAcentral
UACGUAGGGGGCUAGCGUUGUCCGGAAUCAUUGGGCGUAAAGCGCGUGUAGGCGGUCCGGUAAGUCCGCUGUGAAAGUCGGGGGCUCAACCCUCGGAUGCCGGUGGAUACUGUCGGGCUUGAGUACGGAAGAGGCGAGUGGAAUUCCUGGUGUAGCGGUGAAAUGCGCAGGAUAUCAGGAGGAACACCAAUUGCGAAGGCAGCUCGCUGGGACGUUACUGACGCUGAGACGCGAAAGCGUGGGGAGCAAACAGG